This 447-nucleotide ribosomal RNA is filed under the name uncultured bacterium. RNAcentral's name for it is "bacterial SSU rRNA". It matches the Rfam family "Bacterial small subunit ribosomal RNA", at positions 330 to 793 of the family's 1533-position model. The record is from RNAcentral.
GCCAGACUCCUACGGGAGGCAGCAGUGGGGGAUAUUGUACAAUGGGGGGAACCCUGAUGCAGCGACGCCGCGUGGGUGAAGGAGCGUUUCGGCGCGUAAAGCCCUAUCGGCAGGGAAGAAGGAGGACGGUACCUGACUAAGAAGCCCCGGCUAACUACGUGCCAGCAGCCGCGGUAAUACGUAGGGGGCAAGCGUUAUCCGGAUUUACUGGGUGUAAAGGGGGCGCAGACGGCAGCGCAAGCCAGGAGUGAAAGCCCGGGGCCCAACCCCGGGACUGCUCUUGGAACUGCGCGGCUGGAGUGCAGGAGGGGCAGGCGGAAUUCCUAGUGUAGCGGUGAAAUGCGUAGAUAUUAGGAGGAACACCAGUGGCGAAGGCGGCCUGCUGGACGAUGACUGACGUUGAGGCUCGAAAGCGUGGGGAGCAAACAGGAUUAGAUACCCUUGUAC